RNAcentral lists this ribosomal RNA (429 nucleotides) under Acidobacteriota bacterium. RNAcentral describes it as "Acidobacteria bacterium partial 16S ribosomal RNA". It matches the Rfam family "Bacterial small subunit ribosomal RNA", at positions 355 to 776 of the family's 1533-position model. The record is from RNAcentral. Lineage: Bacteria; Pseudomonadati; Acidobacteriota.
UGGGGAAUUUUGGACAAUGGGGGCAACCCUGAUCCAGCAAUGCCGCGUGUGUGAAGAAGUCCUUCGGGUUGUAAAGCACUUUUGUCCGGAAAGAAAACUUCGGGGCUAAUACCCCUGGAGGAUGACGGUACCGGAAGAAUAAGCACCGGCUAACUACGUGCCAGCAGCCGCGGUAAUACGUAGGGUGCGAGCGUUAUUCGUAAUUACUGGGCGUAAAGCGUGCGCAGGCGGUGCUGUAAGACCGAUGUGAAAUCCCCGGGCUUAACCUGGGAACUACAUUGGUGACUGCAGCGCUGGAGUAUGGCAGAGGGGGGUGGAAUUCCACGUGUAGCAGUGAAAUGCGUAGAGAUGUGGAGGAACAACGAUGGAGAAGGCAGCCCCCUGGGCCAAUACUGACGCUCAUGCACGAAAGCGUGGGGAGCAAACAGG